CUACCUGCUGACUGGAGAGGUGAGGGAUUCUGGGUAAUGUCAUUAUGGAGAUCAUCUACCUGCUGACUGGAGAGGUGAGGGAUUCUGGGUAAUGUCAGUAUGGAGAUCAUCUACCUGCUGACUGGAGAGGUGAGGGAUUCUGGGUAAUGUCACCAUGGAGAUCAUCUACCUGCUGCCUGGAGAGGUGAGGGAUUCUGGGUAAUGUCAGUAUGGAGAUCAUCUACCUGCUGACUGGAGAGGUGAGGGAU
This 248-nucleotide long non-coding RNA is filed under the name Pelobates cultripes (western spadefoot toad). The record is from RNAcentral. Lineage: Eukaryota; Metazoa; Chordata; Amphibia; Anura; Pelobatidae.